This 389-nucleotide unclassified non-coding RNA is filed under the name Hevea brasiliensis (rubber tree). Lineage: Eukaryota; Viridiplantae; Streptophyta; Magnoliopsida; Malpighiales; Euphorbiaceae. The record is from RNAcentral.
GCUAAGUUUUGGAGGCAGAAGCACAUUGAAGAAGAGGAUCACCUCUUUGCUGCUGAAAAGGCAGCAGCACGGGUCAGUGCUCGCAAUCUCACUAUAAAAUCUCAUACUUACAUUUGAAUUUUCUGAUUCAUCAUUCAUCACUCGCCAGAUACACAUAAAACGCUACUGAGAUUUGUUUUUAGGCCUUUUAUUCAACUGGGUAUUUGUUGCUGAUAAUUUGUUCAGGUAAUUGUUUUUGGCCUAUAAGAGAAGGCUGUGCCAAAGGUUGCCUUCUGAUUCAUGCUGGUUGGUUGCGUCUAUGGACUAUGGCUACCAUGGGGUUGAUAGUGCUGCAACUACCUAUCCAUUUUCAAUUUAAGUCCUGUUUGGCAUUGAGUUUCAGAGUCUGA